CUAUUUCAAAGGAGGAGGAGGCAACAUACACCUUGCAAUCUCAAGAACGCUUCCUAAUAGAGAAUAUUGAACAGCUUGAGAUGGAAAAAGAAAAUUUAGUGAAAGAAGCUAAAAGUUACCUUGAUAGAGGUUUAAGAAAAUUAGCUAAGGUGCAUCUGAGAAAAAAAAUGGAGCUAGAGAAAACCAUCGAAAAAAGAGUGUUAAUACUGGAAAUAUUCAAAGCUUGAUGAGCAGAGUGAAAGAAGUAGAUUCUAACAGUCAGGUGUUCGAUACUUAUCAGCAAGGCGUCUUCGCAUUGGAAUCUAAAAUUAAAGAAGCCGGUCUCAACAUCGAUAAAAUUGACGAUACGAUGGGAAAAAUUGAACAGGCUCUAGAAGACAAUGACGAAAUUGAGUCUACACUAUCUAAAGUCAUAAACUCGCCGUCAGAUGCUGAAUAUGAGGCUGAAUUAGCGGCUCUUUUGCUAGAUGAAUUAGCGCCAGUUCCCGAUCAUAGUCCAACCCGUCUACCAUCUUCUCUAUUAGGAAAUCAAGUUGAGGAUAUAGAUACGUCAGAGGUAUCACACAAGCCGAAAAAAGUCGCAGCUGAAGCAACUGGAUGAUAUUUGUGAUUGUCAUUGUUCAAGAAGGAUUCAAGAUCUUUUCGUCACUUAAAAUAAUUAAUGCUCAUCAUAUUUUUAGAAUUAAAUGACAAUCAAAG
Molecule: long non-coding RNA, 699 nt
Filed under: Bemisia tabaci
Lineage: Eukaryota; Metazoa; Arthropoda; Insecta; Hemiptera; Aleyrodidae
Description: lncRNA ENSSSA2NGG011927
Source: RNAcentral